This 999-nucleotide long non-coding RNA is filed under the name Chlamydomonas reinhardtii. Its description in RNAcentral is "long non-coding RNA (CREI_LNC001339)". The record is from RNAcentral. Lineage: Eukaryota; Viridiplantae; Chlorophyta; Chlorophyceae; Chlamydomonadales; Chlamydomonadaceae.
CAAAGUUGUUCAAUCUGACGUCUCUCGUGAAUACGUCUGGCGUGUAAUGAUGGCAAGGCGCAGCAGGGUCUUAAAGUCUUCCGGUCAGCAGCAAACCUGCUAUCUGCGGUCUCGCCUUCUGACGCGUGCUGCUUCCCCUCCUCUCUCCUCGUCCGCUCAGGUGUCUGUGGACCUGCCCGACCAGAAGGGCCGCCUGGAGAUCCUGAAGGUGCACGCGCGCAACAAGAAGGUGGCUGAGGACGUGGACCUGCAGGAGGUGGCCAUGCGCACCCCCGGUUUCGCCGGUGCCAACCUGAUGAACCUGCUCAACGAGGCGGCCAUCCUGGCGGGCCGCCGCGGCCUCAAGGUGAGCGCGAGGGCAGCAGCAGCAGCGGGCUGCAGCGGGCAAGGUGGCGGGGGUCCCAGGGCGGCUGAAAACUAGAGCGUUCUUGGGCAAAUUAGUGGCGAGAUGCGUAUCAAGGAUCGACGGUCGGCUGGAAAGUGUUAAAUCUGCGGCCUUCCUGUACAAGAGUGCGCUGAACCGAUCUUCUCUUCCCUCCCAUGCUUACCCGCCACCCGCAGGCGAUCACCAACAAGGAGAUCGACGACGCCAUUGACCGCAUCGUGGCUGGCCUGGAGGGCAAGCCGCUGGUGGACGGCAAGGCCAAGGCGCUGGUGGCCUACCACGAGGUCGGCCACGCCAUCUGCGGCACCCUGCAGCCCGGCCACGACCCCGUGCAGAAGGUGACUCUGGUGCCCCGCGGCCAGGCGCGCGGCCUCACCUGGUUCAUCCCUGGUGAGGACCCCACCCUGGUGUCCAAGAGCCAGAUCUUCGCGCGCAUCGUUGGCGCGCUGGGCGGCCGCGCCGCCGAGGAGCUGGUGUUUGGCGAGGACGAGGUGACGUCGGGCGCCGCCAGCGACCUGCAGCAGGUGUCUGGCAUGGCCCGCCAGAUGGUGAUCAACUACGGCAUGUCCAACAUCGGCCCCUGGAGCCUGAUGGACCCCUCGGCCAUGUCGGGC